This is a long non-coding RNA of Oreochromis aureus, 501 nucleotides long. NCBI's taxonomy places the organism in Eukaryota, Metazoa, Chordata, Actinopteri, Cichliformes, Cichlidae. The record is from Ensembl.
CUGCGCUGCGCGGACCUGCAAGGAGGAGAGGAGGAUGGCAGCAAAAAGGAAGAACCUGAAUAUAAGAAAGUAUUUUUCAAAGAAACCUCUCAUUCUGUGUAAAACCUAAAGACGGCUGUGCUGGAACAUCCCCAUAAAUCAACAGCUUCUAACAUACUCAGACCUGGUCACCUGGAAAAAAAGGGGACCCCUUCCCCAUAGGUAUGAACCUUCACGUCUGAAUGUGCAGGCCUCCACGGAAAACAAGCACCAAUGACUUCUCCUCUGCCUCUAACCACAUACACAAACGGCAUCAGGCAGAACAGUGAUGUCUACUGUAUCUCAGCUACUGUAUUCAAGAUGGCAGGACAACAUGGCUGCUUCCACAAGCUGGUUUUGUGUAUUUUAAUGGAUUAUUUCUAAGACAGUUACAAACUAAUCAAUGUAUAAUUGGUAAAUGUUAAAUAGACUGAUUCUUAUAUAGCCCUUUUCUACUCUCCCGGAGCACUCAAAGCACUUAAU